Molecule: long non-coding RNA, 1380 nt
Filed under: Durio zibethinus
Lineage: Eukaryota; Viridiplantae; Streptophyta; Magnoliopsida; Malvales; Malvaceae
Description: long non-coding RNA (DZIB_LNC000236)
Source: RNAcentral
CAUGACCUAGAAGUACUACUCCAUUCCCCAUAGGUAGUUGUCUACUUCCUUGGCCGCCCUAGUCCUCUUGAACUCCUUAGGCUUAGGGACAUCUAAUCUGGAUUUGGACACUCUAGCAAACAUGCCAUUCCCAAUGACAGUCUUGCAAGAAAUGAGCUCACUGGCAAGCUCCUCCAUCCACUAGCGCAUGGCCUCCAUGCCAUCGCACAACGACGGAACUUGAUACUUGAAGAGCAGGUCAUGAAUGAUAUGUUUGAAGAGCUGGAGGUUUUGAGGAGGGGUCUUCGCGAACAAGAGGACCAGGAUAGGGCUAUCACCCGCUGAGCCAUCCGAAUAAGGCAAAAGCCUAUCUUUUAAAGGAAAGGAAGAGCAGAACCCUUAGCUCCUCGGGUAAGUAGGUAAGUCUUAGGUGUAUUAGCAGUAGAACUACCCUUCCUUUGAUGGGAAUACUUUCUCACUCGGCCUAGGGCUAGCGACUACGGAUACCUUAAUUGAAUCCUCUCCCAGAGCUUUGGAAGCGUAAUCUUUCACUGCUUUGACUUUGUUCGUGGAGGCCUCCAUGCCAUCGUGCAAGGUCAGCACUUCAGCCUCCAAGGCCUCCUUUGGGUGAACACGUCCAUACCUUUGUUGAGAGCAGUUUGCAGCUCACCUUAGAUCUCUUCCCCCAUUGAGUCUAGCGAUGCAAUAUGAGUCUCCAUUUCCUCAAACUUCUCCUCUAUGUCGCCCAUGGUCACCUCCACCUUGGCCAACCUACGUCCAUGGUAGACCAUAUAUCUCUUGAACUGACUUUUCUACCUCUUCCAGCCCCUGUUCUUGAGCCUCUGGUUGUUGGUUAGCAACAUCGCUUUGGGAUGCCAUCUCCUCAAUCACGAUCUAACCUGUACAACACAAACACGUAGAAUCGAACUUGCUCUGAUACCACUUGUCAUGGGUCAAGACUUAAGCUCCGAACCCACGCAGCUUCGGACUAGGACAUCCACUCAUCCGACAUCCUGGAUCAGCCUACCUGGCACAGUUCACACUCUUGUGAGAUAUUAUCAGCUCUGGCCCUUCUGACCUCACGGUUUUAUCCUACAAAAUGCGCCUCACAAGGCAGAGGUGGUGUGAACCCUUUUAUACCUCAGUGACCCUCUUAUUAUGUUCGAUGUGAGAUUCAAAACUCUUCCUUAAAUCCGUGACAUAGGCACUUGGCUUAAAACAACAUCCUUUCUUUUUUGUCUUUCCUAGCUAUGAUCAUCCUAUCCCUUUUUCCUUUGAAAUCCUUGAUUUUAUCUGAGGGAAGUGAAUCAAAUUUAGUCUAUGUUUAAAACUAGGAAAAUUUCCCUUCCAGAAAAUGAAUAAGUCGAAACAUUUUUUUUUUUUUCAUGUUGUUAAACUAGA